This 484-nucleotide ribosomal RNA is filed under the name uncultured bacterium. RNAcentral's name for it is "partial 16S ribosomal RNA". It matches the Rfam family "Bacterial small subunit ribosomal RNA", at positions 30 to 507 of the family's 1533-position model. The record is from RNAcentral.
AUUGAACGCUGGCGGCAGGCCUAACACAUGCAAGUCGAGCGGAUGAAGGGAGCUUGCUCCUGGAUUCAGCGGCGGACGGGUGAGUAAUGCCUAGGAAUCUGCCUGGUAGUGGGGGAUAACGUCCGGAAACGGGCGCUAAUACCGCAUACGUCCUGAGGGAGAAAGUGGGGGAUCUUCGGACCUCACGCUAUCAGAUGAGCCUAGGUCGGAUUAGCUAGUUGGUGGGGUAAAGGCCUACCAAGGCGACGAUCCGUAACUGGUCUGAGAGGAUGAUCAGUCACACUGGAACGGAGACACGGUCCAGACUCCUACGGGAGGCAGCAGUGGGGAAUAUUGGACAAUGGGCGAAAGCCUGAUCCAGCCAUGCCGCGUGUGUGAAGAGGGUCUUCGGAUUGUAAAGCACUUUAAAUUGGGAGGAAGGGCAGUAAGUUAAUACCUUGCUGUUUUGACGUUACCAACAGAAUAAGCACCGGCUAACUUCGUG